GUCGGUGUAGCGUAGUGGUAACGCACUUAGAAGCAUGCAGUAACAAGACUAGGAGAUGAAGGGUUCAAUUCCCUUCAUCGACACCA
RNAcentral lists this transfer RNA (86 nucleotides) under Clostridium botulinum. RNAcentral describes it as "tRNA-OTHER". It matches the Rfam family "tRNA". Rfam says of the family: Transfer RNA (tRNA) molecules are approximately 80 nucleotides in length. Their secondary structure includes four short double-helical elements and three loops (D, anti-codon, and T loops). The record is from RNAcentral. Lineage: Bacteria; Bacillati; Bacillota; Clostridia; Eubacteriales; Clostridiaceae.